Long non-coding RNA from Triticum aestivum (bread wheat), 1244 nucleotides. RefSeq lists it as uncharacterized. The record is from RefSeq and is a predicted model, not a curated record. Lineage: Eukaryota; Viridiplantae; Streptophyta; Magnoliopsida; Poales; Poaceae. The transcript has 2 exons.
UAUUUAAGUCACAGUCCAUGCCCUUCUAACCCUAAUCCCCAUUCUCUCUUCCGUUCCCUCAGCCGCCACAACUGCCCCCACUCCUGAUUCCGGCGAUUCCGGCGGCUAUCGCCGGCGCGGUGCACACCGCCGAGCUCUCCUCGGUCGGCUCCAUCCUCCCCUCCGGCAAGAUUUUGCCAUCCCGACCUCUACCGCUCUCCCAAAACCCACACCCGUAUUAGGGUUUCGGCCUCCGGCAUCGCCUUCGUCAUCGGCGCAUCUCCGGCGACUCUUCUCGGUCGUCUAUAGCGCCCCCACGGGCUCACUAUCUUUCUGAUGGUCCACGUCCAGCAGGGCGGCGCGGAGGAGCUACUCCCGCAGGAUCGACGGGCGCGGCGCACCCUACAGACUCCGGUCCCGGGCUAGGGAGGGCACGGCGGCCUUGUCCUUCUUGUCGGCGGUGGCGGCGAACGCCGGUGCUCUCUCUCCUCCUCGACAUCCAAGGAGGAGCGCCGGUAUAGCACAAGCACGCCCAGCCCCUGAAUCCCACUUCUUCGCCCAUCCAGCGGCGUACAUGACGUGCUCCUCCUCGAUGCGGCCGUCCGCAACAAGCUCUCUUCGCCGGAAGAGGUGGAUCAGCAAGUCCAGCGUACCCUUGGCCUCCUGUCCUGCAGCGCUUGGACGAGCUCACCGGCUGCGUUCUGCCCUCCCAGCGUGGAUUCUUGUAGUGAGACGCCAACCCUGAUGCCUGGCGAAGCGAUGCACACGUCCACUCAUCCAAUUCAACAGCAACUCUACUAGUACUGUACACACAUGCCGCGCCGACCGACUAAUCAAACGAUUCGCUUCCAGCAAUAGCAACUGUCUUGUCUUCUCCAGGGGCAGUGGGUGCCGGUGGCAAUCAAGGAAAGGAGAUGAGUUAAUGGCGUCCGAUCGGCCUUUCAAGAGAGCCAGCGAGAGGGCGUGUCUGCACCGGCAGUGCGGAUCAACUGGAUCGGAGCACUACCAGCGAGCACAUGCUGUGGGAGCGAAUAAGGCGUGCGUGUUAUUGUCGGCGCAUUCACUCAUUCAUUCAUUCAUUCAGCAUGCAUGCUUGCUUGCUAGUACUACGACAGUAUACUACAGUACUGGUCUUCAUUUCCCAUUUUGCAUACGUGCUCCACAGCAGCACCAAUAUACGACUACGUACUACACGAGUACUGGUGUCUCAGUGUACUUGCGCAAAAUUCGUGCACCUUAAUUAUAAUUGGCCGUCGAGUGACCCA